GGCGAAUAAGCCCCGGCUAACUACGUGCCAGCAGCCGCGGUAAGACGUAGGGGGCGAGCGUUGUCCGGAUUUACUGGGCGUAAAGAGCGCGUAGGCGGCCUGUUAAGUCAGGAGUGAAAUCUCCAGGGCUCAACCCGGAAACUGCUCUUGAUACUAACAGGCUGGAGUGGCGAAGAGGUGAUUGGAAUUCCCGGUGUAGCGGUGACAUGCAUUGAUAUCGGGAGGAACACCAACGGCGAAGGCAGGUCACUAGUCGCCAACUGACGCUGAGGCGCGAAAGCGUGGGUAGCAAACAGAAUUAGAUACUCUGGUAGUCCACGCCCUAAACGAUGGAUACUAGUCGUCGGGGGUAUCGACCCCCUCGGUGACGUCGCAAACGCACUAAGUAUCCCGCCUGGGGAGUACGGCCGCAAGGUUGAAACUCAAAUGAAUUGACGGGACCCCGCACAAGCGGUGGAGCAUGUGGAUUAAUUCGAUACUAACCGAAGAACCUUACCCAGACUUGACAUCGAUGGUAAGCCGUAGAAAUGCGGCCCCCUACCCACAAGGUAGGCCGGAAGACACCUGUUGCAUGGCUGUCGUCAGCUCGUGCCGUGAGGUGUUUGGUUAAGUCCAGCAACGAGCGCAACCCUCAUUUCGUGUUACCAGCGGAUAAAGCCGGGGACUCACGAAAAACUGCUCCGGUAACGGAGAGGAAGGUGAGGAUGACGUCAAGUCGGCAUGGCGGUUACGUCUGGGGCUUCACACAUGCUACAAUGGGCGCAACAAAGGGCAGCAAUACCGCGAGGUGGAGCUAAUCCCAAAAAUACGCCCUCAGUUCAGAUUGCAGUCUGCAAUUCGACUGCAUGAAGGCGGAAUCGCUAGUAACCGCAGGUCAGCUAUACUGCGGUGAAUACGUUCCCGGGGUUUGUACACACUGCCCGUCAAGUCACCUGAAUUGUCUGCACCCGAAGUCCGUGGCUCAACCGUAAGGAGAGAGCGGCCGAAGGUGUGGGGGGUAAGGGGGACUAAGUCGUAACAAGGUAGCCGUACCGGAAGGUGUGGCUGGAUCACCUCCUUUAUAGGGAGCA
This 1070-nucleotide ribosomal RNA is filed under the name Fimbriimonadia bacterium ATM. RNAcentral describes it as "bacterial SSU rRNA". It matches the Rfam family "Bacterial small subunit ribosomal RNA", at positions 481 to 1533 of the family's 1533-position model. The record is from RNAcentral. Lineage: Bacteria; Bacillati; Armatimonadota; Fimbriimonadia.